Molecule: ribosomal RNA, 433 nt
Filed under: uncultured bacterium
Lineage: Bacteria
Description: partial 16S ribosomal RNA
Rfam family: Bacterial small subunit ribosomal RNA
Source: RNAcentral
AACGAACGCUGGCGGCAGGCUUAACACAUGCAAGUCGAACGCACCUUUCGGGGUGAGUGGCAGACGGGUGAGUAACGCGUGGGAAUCUACCCUUCUCUACGGGAUAGCUCCGGGAAACUGGAAUUAAUACCGUAUACGUCCUGAGGGAGAAAGAUUUAUCGGGGAAGGAUGAGCCCGCGUUGGAUUAGCUAGUUGGUGGGGUAAAGGCCUACCAAGGCGACGAUCCAUAGCUGGUCUAAGAGGAUGAUCAGCCACAUUGGGACUGAGACACGGCCCAAACUCCUACGGGAAGCAGCAGUGGGGAAUAUUGGACAAUGGGCGCAAGCCUGAUCCAGCCAUGCCGCGUGAGUGAUGAAGGCCCUAGGGCUGUAAAGCUCUUUCAGUGGGGACGAUAAUGACGGUACCCACAGAAGAAGCCCCGGCUAACUUCGUG